Contarinia nasturtii (swede midge) is the source of this 1016-nucleotide RNA transcript. It is a transcript of the gene named vesicle transport protein GOT1B, with no coding region annotated. NCBI's taxonomy places the organism in Eukaryota, Metazoa, Arthropoda, Insecta, Diptera, Cecidomyiidae. The transcript has 6 exons. The record is from RefSeq and is a predicted model, not a curated record.
GAAAAAUCCAGCAAAUUGUUGCUUGACAUUUCGUCUUUGACGUGGAUGUUUCAUCGUCAGUUACAAUAGAGAAAUUUACCAUUAUUUUAACUAAUGUCACUAGUUUUGCAUUUAUUUUAAUGACCCAUCAAAGGAAAUCAAAUAUUAUUUCGAUAAAAACACACUCAUCUCAAUAGUUUGUAGGAAUUCAUAAUGUUCGAAAUUACUGAUACACAGAAAAUUGGAGUUGGAUUGGCCGGAUUUGGAGUUGCAUUUGUAUUUCUUGGUGUACUUUUGCUGUUUGAUAAAGGACUCUUAGCAAUUGGAAAUAUUUUGUUCAUAUGUGGCUUGGCCUGCAUUAUUGGUCUGGAGCGAACCUUCCGAUUUUUUGUGCAACGUAAAAAAAUCAAAUCAUCGCUUGCAUUUUUCGGUGGAAUUGUCAUCGUUUUGUUAGGAUGGCCAUUAAUUGGAAUGAUAAUUGAAUCCUAUGGAUUUUUCUUAUUGUUUAGCGGUUUUUUCCCAGUUGCCAUAAACUUUUUACGAAGAGUACCAAUUUUGGGACGAUUUCUCAACUUGCCUGGAAUUAGCACGGUCAUUGAUCGUUUGACUGGUGACUCUGAAAGAACAAGGGUAUGAUUUAGGAUUUAGUAUUUGUGAGUACCUGUUUAAUAUGAAGAUGCUAAGCGACCAAACUGAUGACUAAUUCCACAAAUCAUUCACUUAAGAUUUCAUCCUUUCUAAAAAUGUGUCUGCAUAAAGCGGAGAGCAUUGAAUGAAGACGAUAAGCUUUGGCUCGGAUAAUGAAAUCAAUUACAUUUUUGUAAACUUGAUAUGUGAAACUGUGCCACACCGUAUCGAUCAACUCAACGAUAGCCCAAGAUCACUUCAAAGGGGGCAUCCUUAUCUAAAUUCACAUACUUCCUCAUUAUAUUUUAAGGCGCAUACCAACUAAAGUGAUAUCUUCAGUAUUUCAAUUAAAAUUCCUUCGAAAAUAUGAAAUAAAAGCGAAUUUACUAUUUGGUGAUGCCAAACAAAAA